AGUGAACGCUGGCGGCAGGCCUAACACAUGCCAGUCGAGCGGCAGCGCGGGGGCAACCCUGGCGGCGAGCGGCGGACGGGUGAGGAAUUCGUCGGAAUCUGCCUUUUUGUGGGGGAUAACGUAGGGAAACUUACGCUAAUACCGCAUACGUCCUACGGGAGAAAGUGGGGGACCGCAAGGCCUCACGCAGAAAGAUGAGCCGACGACCGAUUAGCUAGUUGGUGGGGUAAAGGCCCACCAAGGCGACGAUCGGUAGCUGGUCUGAGAGGAUGAUCAGCCACACUGGGACUGAGACACGGCCCAGACUCCUACGGGAGGCAGCAGUGGGGAAUAUUGGACAAUGGGCGCAAGCCUGAUCCAGCCAUGCCGCGUGUGUGAAGAAGGCCUUCGGGUUGUAAAGCACUUUUGUCCGGAAAGAAAUCCCUGGAGCUAAUACCUUCGGGGGAUGACGGUACCGGAAGAAUAAGCACCGGCUAACUUCGU
This 483-nucleotide ribosomal RNA is filed under the name uncultured bacterium. RNAcentral's name for it is "partial 16S ribosomal RNA". It matches the Rfam family "Bacterial small subunit ribosomal RNA", at positions 29 to 506 of the family's 1533-position model. The record is from RNAcentral.